Molecule: ribosomal RNA, 443 nt
Filed under: uncultured bacterium
Lineage: Bacteria
Description: partial 16S ribosomal RNA
Rfam family: Bacterial small subunit ribosomal RNA
Source: RNAcentral
CCUACGUGUGGCUGCAGUGGGGAAUAUUGGGCAAUGGGCGCAAGCCUGACCCAGCAACGCCGCGUGAAGGAAGAAGGCUUUCGGGUUGUACACUUCUUUUCUGAGGGACGAAGAAAGUGACGGUACCUCAGGAAUAAGCCACGGCUAACUACGUGCCAGCAGCCGCGGUAAUACGUAGGUGGCCAGCGUUAUCCGGAUUUAUUGGGGGUAAAGGGCGUGUAGGCGGGAAAGCAAGUCAGAGGUGAAAACUCAGGGCUCAACCCUAAGCCUGCAUUUGAAACUGUUUUUCUUGAGUGCUGAGGAGGCAAUCGGAAUGCCGUGUGUAGCGGUGAAAUGCGUAGAUAUACGGAGGAACACCAGUGGCGAAGGCGGAUUGCUGGACAGUAACUGACGCUGAGGCGCGAAAGCGUGGGGAGCAAACAGGAUUAGAUACCCUUGUAGUC